RNAcentral lists this unclassified non-coding RNA (356 nucleotides) under Hevea brasiliensis (rubber tree). Lineage: Eukaryota; Viridiplantae; Streptophyta; Magnoliopsida; Malpighiales; Euphorbiaceae. The record is from RNAcentral.
UUUUGCUAGUAUUUUGUGAACAUGUUGGACUUCUGUCACACUUUACUACUUCAUCCAUCUUACUUUAAUCCUAUAGCUAACAUCCUCUAUACCUCCUCAACUCUACCUAGAUAUGAGUGUAGCCAUGGUUAGAUCAUAAAUUGCCCUUCCCAAGCCCAAAUGAAGUAGGUUGUGAUGGGUGAUAGCCAGCACAGAACUUUGUUGCAUAUUAUGUUAUAAAUAUUAUCUAAUUAAAAACUUAAAUCAUGUAGUUGGAAAGUGGAUUCUAAAUUUGGUCCUUUUACUUGAUAUUUUUUUUAUGGGAAAUGUGCCUUUCAGGUUUUUCAAUUUUUUUAUUGUUAAACAUUAUUUUAUGA